GCCCAAGUGAAAGCCGCCAGAGCAGCUACAGCAAGAGCUGGAGCAGAGCGAGAGAAGGAGACUAAAGGGAGGCAGGCUGCGAGAUGGAGAAAUUAAUUAUUCUACUGCUCUGGUUACAGUAUGUUGUUAAGGAUCGUGUUCACAAGGAUGGGCAGCAUUAAAAAAUAACUGUUAUAGAAUUAACAAUGACAGUAAGCCAUGGAAUAUAGCCCAGCAACAUUGUAAGUUAUCCUUAAGUUCUGCACACCUUGUGGAUAUGAAAAAUGAAGAGGAAAAAAAUUUUGUAUUUUCGUAUCUCAGGUCAAACAAUCAAAUAAUAAUAUGGACUGGUCUUAAUGAUAUGAAGAAAGAAGAUCUUCUUACAUGGGCAGAUGGAUCAUCUUUUGGCCUUAAGAAAAAUGAAAUAUUUUCUUUUCCAUUGCUAUCCAAGAAUGAAACACAUUGCUACAUUUUACAGCAAAAUGCAACUGGAUCAAACUAUUUCUUUACAAGAUUUUUCUGUUACGUUCCAUUGCCGUAUGUUUGUGAAUAUGAAUGUAAUUAUUUUUAUUAUUCUUUCUUAU
Molecule: long non-coding RNA, 563 nt
Filed under: Pan troglodytes (chimpanzee)
Lineage: Eukaryota; Metazoa; Chordata; Mammalia; Primates; Hominidae
Description: long non-coding RNA NONPTRT003584
Source: RNAcentral